CAGAUACAUGUGCGCAUGCACGUGUACACACAUGCAUGCAUACACACAUGCAUUUGUAGAUAUAUGUGUAGGUGUGUACACACAACAUACACAUAUGCAUCCACACAUACACAUAUACAUAUGAGGUGGCACGUUCAGCUUUCAAGAGGACCAUCAGGGACUUUGUCACCUUGACAACUUUAGCCUUGCCUUCUAGUCACCUUGCCGGAACACUUGUGCCCGUGUUUUUCUAGCACUGUCAUAAGAAUACUUUUACCUAUCAAGGCAACUGGGGGUUAGGAGAGCUUUUUGCACAGGAGGCUACUUGGCUUUGUUUGAAAACUGAUGAUACAUGAGGAUUGGGGUGGUGAAUCACUCACAUGUUUCUUCAUAUGAAAAAUGAGGACUGUGGGAUUCUCUGGCUGGAUCUCAGCACCUAGAAAUGGAUCUGGGCAAUAGGAACUGCUCAGUAUUAGCUACCGCUUUGGUUGCCUUCUCCUUGCGGAAAGCUGGCCUCUCACACUGAAUUUGUAUCAUAGGCACUCAUGAGGGUCUUGACUGUAUCAAUAUCUGAUGAGAGAUUUUAGUGCAGUUCUGUUAUCGUGGCUGAUUUGCUCAUUUGGUAGCUAGCAUCCAGCUUCUUGUGAACAUUAAAAUAAAAUAAAAUAGAUUAUGGAGGAAUAGAAUACAGAUACGUAGUAAGGUAUUAUUUUCCAGACAAAAUGGAUUUGGAUAAAAGAAUCUAAUUAAGAACUUGUGCAUGAUUCUUUUAAAAUUCUUUUGAAUCCAUUUUUUUUUUUUUGGCCUGUUUUCAAGUCUCCGAUUUUUGUCACCCUUCUCACACCAGGUCAGAGAGAUAGCUAAUGGUCAGAAGGAAUCUUCCAGCAAUGACCAUAGCGCUUUCUCCUGCCUGCAGAUGCCUCUUUUUAUUCAGCCUUUAUGGGAAGUAGCAGCACCAUCCAGUUCUCAGAGAGCAAGCUCUGGAGUAACUGAGCUAACCCCAGUUACCCCAGUGGAUUUACAGAUUGAGGUUACAACCCAGCAGGGUUCUCUUCCUGGAAAGAAUAGCCUUCCCUCUAAGGUUUCAAAUAGACCCUGGGUGAGGAAGGAGCCCUAAACAGCUUGAAAAAUUGAAUGCUCUUUGGGCAAAGCAGGAAGCCGUCCUAUGGAAGAGCAUCAUUUGAGCAUAAAUCAGGUUAUCAGGACAAACAGAGUGUUCAGGAGGUCAAGAUGGUUAAGCAGAGACCCUGACCAGAAUGUCCGUGGCGGAGAGAAACAAUCUUGUUGGGAAAAGGAUGACAAUAAUUGGGGACUUAGAAUAAAGGCUAAAAAUGAUUCAAAGAGAAUGCAAAAAGAAUCAGGCACAAAUCGUUUACUAUACUCUGUUAUGCAAAUCUCACCUUACUAUGUGUUUGUAUUCUAUUCCUCCACAAUCUUUAUUUUAUUUUAAUGUUCAAAGAGACUUGUAGGUGCCAAUUAAAUGAACAAAACAGCCAGAGACAACAGAACUGCCCUAAAAAAAGUCCCGCAUCAGCUCUUGAGAGCAGGUUCCUUAAAGGUGAACAAUAUUCCACAUACAAGGACUUUUUCAGCACCAUGCAUUAGAAAUGGAAGUGAAUGUUUAUUAUUUUUUGUAUAAGUUGGUUGAUAUGGCUUUUCAGCUUCCCUCAGUAUCAUUAUCCAAAUUUUGUAGAUGACACUAAAGCUCAGAGGAGUUAAACCAUUUUCCUUAAAUCACAUAGCUUUAAAUAGGAAAACCAGAUAUGAAAAGCAGAUUUUUUUUCUAAAUUAAAAAACCAAAAACAAAAACACGUGAGCUCUUGCUUUACCCUAGCACAUAGUCUUGCCAUCUGUUUUCUCCACACCAGGUGAUUCCUGUAACAUUCAUUCACAUAACAAAUACAAAUAAAUGAGUGGAUUCAUUCAUCAGAUAUUAAUUCAGAAUCCCUUUUGUGCCUUCCAGAAAUCUGGACCAUCUCACAACCCCCAGAGAGUCUCAGCUACAAGGAACAAGUGAUAAUGCCAUCCCACUUUUAUAAACACACACACACACACAUGCAAUACACACACAAUCAUUUAAUCAUUUUUAAUUAUUUAAUUAUUUUUUAAAAAUCAGUGACACUUUAGCUGGGCAGGUCUAGAUAGGUCUUCUUUGCUGGGACGUGUCUUUUUCUGUCCUGGAAUACCCUAAACUUCACAUUUUGGCAGCGUGAGUUUUCCCUUUGUGACUUUCUCCUUCUUCCCUUUUUUCCUCCUUCUUUGCAGAGAAUGAGUAGCCACUGCACCUUGCCCUGCGCCAUCAAUGAGAAGAUCUGCUCUUAGUAGAGCCCUGCUUUCCCGCUGAAGGCCCUGAAAUCACCUGUGUUCCAGGCCACCCACUAAGGAUAAACAAAGCUUCCCUGAUAUGGGGAAUUAGCUCAAGUGGUAGAGCGCUUGCUUAGCAUGCAAGAGGUAGUGGGAUCAAUGCCCACAUUCUCCAAGCUUUAUUAUUUAGGUACCCAAACCCGAGUCAGUGUCUGAGAGCAAGACACUGCUCUCGGUGUCUUUGGUUCAAGACAUAGGAGCAGCAACAAUACAGGACUGGUGACAGCUUCCUGCUGGCAUUCAGUAUAGUGUAGAUCUACUGUGUAAUUAAUUUUCUGUUUCUUCGAGGAGCUGUGAAACCAAAGGACAUAUAAAACUGCUCUUUUCUCCCUGUUUCUGCCUGCAGCUUGGUCCUAAAUGUGAGACAAUUGUGAAAAGUGGAGGACAGAGCCACCUGGUUAAAUACAGCCCCAGCUUUCUGGUGAGAGGACUGAAACCAAGAUGUGUCAAGUAACUAGAAUGUGCCUGGACAGAUACUGUAGAAAGCAAAACCAUAAAGUUGUUCAUGAGCUUGUGGACGCACCUGCCAGCUGUGAAUAAGUGGCUCUAAUCCCGAACAACUUACCUAAAAAGAGCCUGAGAGCUGAACUGUGCAAUGGCCCACUUUCCAGUCCUCACUGACCACUGGGUUGCACACACUUUGGAGAUCUCUGAACAGCAGUGUCAAGGCUUUCAAAUAGAGUUAUCUUUGAAACGACAACACAUGAAAGUCUGGUUGGUACUUGGAGCUUAAAUACAAGGCAAUUGUGUGCCUGCAAAAACAAAAAUAGCAAUAUUAUCCUUAAGAUUUCAACAAGACACAGUGUCUCAUCACAUAAUCCAAAGAAGUCCAGGUUACAAGCCCCACAAUAUUCAGCAUUAUGAAAAAACAGGGAGAUCUUAAUUCACAUGGCAAAGAGAAUCCUCGAAUAACAAUAUUGAGAGGACACAGAUGUCAAAAUCAUCUGACACAUACAUUAAAGCAGAUAUUAUAACAAUGCUCCUAGAAUCGGGGAUAACAUUCGUGAAGUGAAUGGAAAGUUGGAAAGUCUCACCAAAUAUUUCGAAUACAUAAACACCAAUUUAAACUUAAGAAUUAAAAAAAUGUAUUAACCAAAACUCUUAGGGGAAAUAAAAAGCUUAAUUGGAGGAUCUCCAUAAUCGAAUGCAGAAGACUAAGGAAAAAGUCAAUGAACUUGAAAACAGAACACGAAUACCUACAUAAUCUGAACUAUAGAGAGAAAGGAGGAUUUUAUUGUCUCUGAACAGAGGCUCAGGCACAAAUAAAAAAUAACAAAUCCAACAUUCACAUUAUUGUAAUCUGGAAAGAAGAGGACAAAGUGGUCUUUGUGGGAUAAAACUUUGAACAAUUAAUAGCUGAAAAUGGUUCAAAUUUGUCAAAAGAUAUAAACCAGAUUUUUAAAGUUCAGUAAAUGUCAAUCAGGAUAAACCCAAAGAAACCCAUAGCAAGGCAUAUCAUAAUCAAACUGCUGAAAACUAAGAAAAUACAAAACAAUUUUGAAAGCAGCCAAAGGGAAAUGAAAGAGAAACUACCAAAUGAAUGAUUGUAGAUUUCGCAUCAGGAACCAUAGGGGCCAGAAAAAAUGUCAUAACAUUCGGUAAGUAACAAAAGAAAAAGACAUAUCGACCCAGAAUGCUAUGUGGAGCAAAAGUAUCUUCCAGACAUAAAGGCAAAUAAAUGCAUUCUCAGUGGAAGGUAAGUAAAUACAUUCUCAUUCUUAGGAAGACUGCUGGAAAAGAAUUAGCAAAGAUUUGAGAUAAGAAAAAUGAUACCAGAAGGAAACUUAGAACAUCAUCAGUGAAGGAACAAAAGCAGAAAUAGAACAUGUCUGGGUAGACAUAACAGACUAUUAUUCUUCCCUUGAGUUCCUUAAGGAGACUACGGAAAAGAAGAGUGACUAAGAUCUCUGAAGAAGGGAAAAGCUAGAUGACUGGGCCACAAGAGGAAAAAAAGCAGCAAGACAGAGAUUUGUUGGUGCCAACUAAAUGAGCCCAACAGCCAGUGACAACAGAACUGCACUAAAAAAAGUCCCUCAUCAGCUCUUGAGAGCAGGUUCCUUAAAGAGAAUGAGUAGCCACUGCACCUUGCCCUGGGCCAUCAGUGAGAAGAUCUGCUCUUAGUAGAGCCCUGCUUUCCCGCUGAAGGCCCUGAAAUCCCCUGUGUUCCAGGCCACCCACUAAGGAUCAAUAAAGCUCCCCUGAUGUGGGGGAAUUAGCUCAAGUGGUAGAGCGCUUGCUUAGCAUGCAAGAGGUAGUGGGAUCGAUGCCCACAUUCUCCAAACUUUAUUAUUUAGACCCUGGGUCUCCAAACACUCAGGUCUCCAAACCCAAGUCAGAGAACAGGAUGCUGCUUUGGUUCAAGAUGUAGGAGCAGCAACAAUACAGGGCUGGUGACGGCUCCCUCCUGGCAUUCAGUAUAGUGUAGAUCUACCGUGUAAUUAAUUUUCUGCUUCUUUGAGGAGCUGUGAAACCAAGGGACAUAAACAAUUGCUCUUUUCUCCCUGUUUCUGCCUGUAGCUUGAAUGUGAGGCAACUGUGAAAAGUGCAGGGCAGAGCCACCUGGGUAAAUACAGCCCUGGCUUUCUGGUGAGAGGACUGAAACCAGGAUGUGUCAAGUAACUAGAAUGUGCCUGGACAGAUACUGUAGAAAGCAAACCCAUAAAGUUGUUCAUGAGCUUGUGGACGCACCUGCCAGCUGUGAAUAAGUGGGUCUAAUCCCAAACAACUUACCUAAAAAGAGCCUGAGGACUGAACUAAACAAUGGUCCACUUUCCAGUCCUCACUGACCACUGGUUGCACACACUCCAGAGAUCUCUCAUCCGCAGUGUCAAGGCUUUCAAAUAGAGUUAUCUGUGAAACAACAACACAUGGAAGUCUGGUUGGUACUUGGAGCUUAAAUACAAGGCAAUUGUGUGCCUGCAAAAACAAAAAGAGCAAUAUUAUCCUUAAGAUUUCAACAAGACACAGUGUCUCAUCACAUAAUCCAAAGAAGUCCAGGUUACAAGCCCCAAAAUAUUCAGCAUUAUGAAAAACCAGGGAGAUCUUAAUUCACAUGGCAAAGAGAAUCCUUGCAUAACAAUAUUGAGAGGACACAUAUGUCAAAAUCAUCUGACACAUACAUUAAAGCAGUUAUUAUAACAAUGCUCCUAGAAUUACGGGAUAGCAUUCAUGAAGUGAAUGGAAAGUUGGAAAGUCUCACCAAAUAUUUGGAAUAUGUAAACACCAAUUUAAACUUAAGAAUUAAAAAAAGUAUUAACCAAAACUAUUAGGGGAAAUAAAAAGCUUAAUUGGAUGAUCUCAAUAGCAGUAUGCAGAAGACUAAGGAAAAAGUCAAUGAACUUGAAAACGGAACAAGAAUACCUACAGAAUCUGACCUAUAGAAAGAAAGGAGGAUUUUAUUGUCCCUGAACAGAGGCUCAGGGACAAAUAAAAAAUAACAAAUCUAACAUUCACAUUAUUGUAAUCUGGAAACAUUCACAUUAUUGUAAGAGGACAAAGAGGUCUUUGUGGGAUAAAACUGUGAAGAAUUAAUGGCUGAAAAUGUAUCAAAUUUCUCAAAAGAUAUAAACCAGAUUUUUAAAGUUCAGUAAAUGUCAAGCAGGAUAAACCAAAAGAAACCCAUUGCAAGACAUAUCAUAAUCAAACUGCGGAAAAUUAAGAAAACACAAAACAAUUUUGAAAGCAGCCAAAGGGAAAUGAAAGAUAAAAUACCAAAUGAAUGAUUGUAGAUUUCUCAUCGGGAACCCAGGAGCCAGAAAAAAAUGUCAUAACAUUCAGUAAAUACCAAAGGAAAAAUACAUUAUCAACCCAGAAUGGUAUGUGGAGCAAAAGUAUCUUCCAGACAUAAAGGCAAAUAAAUGCAUUCUCAUUGGAAGGUAAAUAAAUACAUUCUCAGUCCUAGCAAAACUGCUGGAAAAGAAUUAGCAAAGGUUUGAGAUAAGAAAAGUGAUACCAGAAGGAAACUUAGAACAUCAUCAAUGAAGGAACAAAAGCAGAAAUAGAAAAUGUCUGGGUAGACAUAACAGACUAUUAUUCUUCUCUUGAGUUCCUUAAGGUAUGUUUGAUGGUUGAAAGCAAAAAUUGUAACUUUAUCUGAUGCAGUUGUCAUUGUAUCUAGAUGUACUACAUACAUAAGAUAAAAGGGUAAAUGUAAUGGGACUAACUCUUGAUGAAGUUUCUAUAUUCAACUUGAAUGGUAAAAUAUUGAUUCUUAGUAUACUGUGAAAAGUUAUAUAUGUAUAUGGUAAUCCCUAGACCACUUAACAACCAGAUUGAAAUAAACCAAAACAAGAUAGACAGAGGAACAUAGAAGAAUUAAAACAAAGGGAAAAAAGGUUAAUAAAUUAUUAAAUAGUAGAUCUAUCUAAAAACUUAUCUAUAAUAACAUUAUAUGUAAAUUAUCUAAAUGCAUUAAGUAAAAACUAGAGAUCAUCAGAAUGUGUUAAAAAUAAAUAUGCUGACUAAAGAAAGCCACCUGCAAUACACUUAUAAAUAAGAAUAAAAGUUAUAGAGCAGAUUGAAAGAAAAGAGUGGGAAAAGAUACCUCAUGCAAGCAUUAAUCAAAGACAGCUGUGGUGUAUAUAUAUAAAAUCAGACAAAGUAGAUUUGAAAGCAGAGAAACUUUUCAGGAAUAAUGAGGCCUCCUAAAUAAUUAUGAUUGUCAAUUUUUCAGGAGAAUAUUGUCCCAAAUGUAUAUGAGGACACAGAGCUUCAAAACUCAUAAACAAAAUUGGAUACGCCAAGUAAAAAUAGAAAAAUCCAGUUAUAGUUGCAGUCAUUAACACUCCUCUCUGAGUAAUUGGAAGAUUUAGUGGAACACAAAUCAACAGACAUACUGGAGAAUUGAACCAUGCCAUCCAGUAAUGGACCUAUCAAUUUCAUAAUGCAAAAUAAAAAUUCAGGUAGAAAGCAAAGACAAAAAUUAAAAGAAAAGCAAGAUCAUGUUAUAAUGAGAAAAUUAAGAGUAGUCCAGUGUAUAGAAGGGUGCUAUUAUUGAAAGAGUUUGAAAUAGUGACUUAGUUAUUUUGAAACAUUUUUGAAGACGUUAUUUAGCUGGAAAUGACAGAAAGACUGAAAAUGGUGAAUGUGGAGGUGGAUCUUCCCUUGUCCAUAUUUAUCUUGUCUUCGUUUGAGGUCUGGGGUGUCUAUACUUCCUCUGAAUUACCUGAUCUUACUACAGUGUCUGGCACAGAGCAUCUCCCCAGUGAAUAUGUACUAAAUGAGUAGAAAGUAAUUGAUAGAUUCAAAAGAGUUGUGCAAGAAUAAUGUUCAUUAUUUGACUAAUCACUGAAUGUGGUGUUUCAAGGAAGACAAUGAAUCAAAGUUGACUUGAAAGGUAAGCCCAGGGCCAGACGUGGUGGCUCAUUUCUGUAAUCCCAGCACUUUGGGAGGCCGAGAUCAGUGGAUCCCUUGACACCAGG
This 7763-nucleotide transfer RNA is filed under the name Homo sapiens (human). Its description in RNAcentral is "HSALNT0333357". The stretch from base 4550 to 4622 matches the Rfam family "tRNA". The record is from RNAcentral. Lineage: Eukaryota; Metazoa; Chordata; Mammalia; Primates; Hominidae.